UUUAAUUUUCUUAAAAUUUUGACAAAGUAUUUACUUUGACCCUUUUACAAAAAUAUAAAAAUUUCAAAAAAUUUGAACCAACCGUUUUAUCAGAAAAAUUACACUGGUUAUAUAGCAGUUUGGCAAACACUUAUUUUGAUCAUUGAGAAGCUUAAUAUUCCCUUAACAACACAACCUAAUUAAAACGUUUAGAUGAUUUUACAGAGUUAUCUCCCUGUAGUGUUAGG
This 227-nucleotide long non-coding RNA is filed under the name Mytilus galloprovincialis (Mediterranean mussel). Lineage: Eukaryota; Metazoa; Mollusca; Bivalvia; Mytilida; Mytilidae. The record is from RNAcentral.